Long non-coding RNA from Macadamia integrifolia, 2695 nucleotides. RefSeq lists it as uncharacterized. The transcript is spliced from 4 exons. NCBI's taxonomy places the organism in Eukaryota, Viridiplantae, Streptophyta, Magnoliopsida, Proteales, Proteaceae. The record is from RefSeq and is a predicted model, not a curated record.
GAAAAUGUGGGGGGCAUAACCAUGACAAAUAUACUAGGUGUGGUUGUUAAUGGGUUUCGGACUCUAUAAUAUCAAAAUAAAAAGAGAAAUUUACAUCCACCACCCCUCGCGUUCGUCCCAAUUACAUCAUCCCCUCUUGUUUCGUUUUUUACAUUUAAAUCCAAAAAAUAACACUGUUUCACUGGGUGUUUUCCAUUAACUUGAACCCAAAUUUUCUAAAUUCCCAGAAAACCCUUCUUGCAUAUCCUACAACCUACGAAAGAACAAACACUUCGGGCCUUUGGGGCUUUCUUUCCAACUUCCGUCGAUUCCUUGGUCUGCGAUUCCUCACGGUAGGUUGUUCCGGCAAACAUCAAGUUGUUCUGGCGAAGUAGUUCCUCACCGUAGGUUGUUCCGGCGAAACAGGGGUGUGCGAUUCUUAUAGCGAGGGAAGAUUAUCAAACAAAAAGCUUGGAAAGGUCUGCCUGCGACGAAGCAAGAGCACAUCUACUGAUUUCCAGCGACGGAUUUCCAGCGACGAAGCGAGAGCACAUCUUCUGAUUUCCUGCAGGCAGAUUGAUCCUAUUUCCGCGACGGAGUUGAGUAUGGAUCGCUUGCUUGACUCGAUCUCCCAGCCAUGGAUUCUCACUCCGUAUCGUCCCUAGGGAAGUAGCUCCGCUCCGGCAGCCUUCAACUCGCUCUCAUCCACCUCCAUAACCCUCUACGGUCACCGUCGUCUAUAUCGGGAUUUCAAAAUUCCUGCGGUUUGGUUUUCAUCACCUGCACAAUAUGGAAUCAUGAAAGACCUCGACCUUACUGUUGCAGAGUACUGAGUCUUUGGUUCAAUAUUGACAAUUGAAGCUAUGGUAGGUGCCUCCAUAAGCGGCUGGAUUACAGAUCUUAUCGGUCGAAGAGGUGAUGGGUUGUAAUACAUAAGACCUCAUACCUUAGCCUCGCCGGAGAGUAUCAACUUCUCUGGAGGGUAAUGAUUUCGCCGGAGUGUAUUCUUCACUUCGCCGGAAACAAGGGCACCUCUCCUUGGAUGGAGAAGGUAACGGUUCAGUUGAGGGUGAGAUUUGGGGAUUUUGUUAUUUUGUUUUUAGUUCAAAGGUGUUAAAAAGGGUAUAAUAGGUAGGAAGGGUAGUUAGGUCUUUUUAAAUUCAAAACUAACACUAGUGAAACGAGUUAGUUUUUUGGAUUUAAAUGAAAAAAACGAAACGAGAAAGGGAUGAUGUAAUUGGGGCAAACAUAAAGGGUGGUGGAUGUAAAUUUCUCAAAUAAAAAAAAAUUCUUAAAAAUAAGAAUAACAAAAUAUAUUUUUCUUAACCAUUUAAGUAAUUAAUUAUUCAUUCAUAGGUAUAUAGAUAAGAGCAUAUUCUUUAGUAAAAUGCGAAAGAAUAGUUAGCUCUGUGCUCACCACACCGGCUGCAAAGCUAUCGGAAUCAAAGAAAUGGGUAAGGACUCUACUUACUUGGGAACUCAGCUUCUCAUUCUAAGGGCAAGUCUCAGGUCUUUCAUAAUGUGGUCCGUCGGAUGGAAUUAAGGCUUGGUACAUGAAAAUCCAAUCUUUUGUCUUACGCUGGUAGAACCGUACUAGUUCAAUCUUCUUUAUGUUCCAUUUCGUCUUAUCUCAUGAUGUGCUUCAAAUUGCCCUAGAAUAUUUGCAGGAAAAUUGACAAUAUAUGCUUGCAUUUUUGGAAGAACGAUUCCGAUUCCUUUAAGAAACUGCACACAAUUGGAUGGAAAAGGAUUUGUCAACCCAAAAAGUAUGGUGGCCUUGGUCUACAGGAUGCCGAAACUCAAAAUAAGGCUUUGUUGAUUCGUUUGCGAUGGAAGCUCCUCAAUGAACAUAAUACCUUAUGGGCCAGGACUCUCAAUGCCAAAUACUUCUUUAACAGAUCCAUCUUUAAUUAAAAAAAAACCAUUCAAUGCAGAGGGUCACCAUGCCGGGACGCUAUCGUAAGUAUCCUUCCAAUCCUCAAGCAAAUGUUUACCAGAAAAAUUGGAAACGGAAGUAAUACUUUCUUCUGGUACGACCCCUGGAUCUAUCACAAUAAGAAUGUGUUUAUUGAGAAUUUUUUGGCUUCUACUAAUAAUAAGGAUAAGGUUAGUAUGGCUUUGACUAAUCUUCAUUGGAAUAGCAAUCUUCUCGCUAGUCUACACCUUUUUCAUUUAGCUUCUUUAAACUCUAAUACCCCAAUUUCUAAUUGCGAAGAUAGAUGAUGGUGCCACCUUUCAAGCAAAGGAAUUCUUAUUACGAAGCUGGCAGCUCGUUUUCUUCAAAAAAAUUUACUAACUCACUCCAAUGAAUGCCAUAACAGGUGUAUAUGUUUAUUACGCUGCUUUCAAUGGUGGCGACUUCUCUCGAAAAUCAAUAUUCACCCCAAAUUUAAGUUGUUCUUUUGAAGAGUGGCUCUACAAGGGAUUCCUACCAAAGUGUUCUUAAAUACUUGGAUGGACAUAGAUCCCACUUGUGAUCUAUGUCUCCGUGGCCAGGAGAACAUUCUGCAUGUGUUUCUCACACACGAUUUUUCAAGAAGAAUUUGGGCUACUGAUCCGCUUGGACUAAAAAGUGAAUGUUUGAGAUUUGUUUCCUUUCCUUCCUUGAUUAUGUAUUUCUUUCAUUUAUAUAUGUCGAAUCUCAGUGACUUGAAUCACUUUUUCAAAGUUUUUAUUUUUACUUGUUAUUUCAUUUGAAAACAUAGGAAUUCCUUCA